UUGAGUAAUUAUAUCCCAAGCAGAAUACAUCGAACUGAACUAAUAAUUCUGUCGAGAGCCUAGGGCUUUUGGAUGAUUUUUUCCUAAAUUGAUCCUUGGUUAUUCGAAAAUCGGCAAUGGGAGCAAGCAGGAAAUUACAGGGCGAGAUCGAUCGGGUUCUGAAGAAGGUUCAAGAAGGUGUCGACGUGUUCGACAGCAUUUGGAACAAGGUUUAUGAUACAGACAAUGCGAAUCAGAAGGAAAAAUUCGAGGCCGACUUGAAAAAGGAGAUUAAAAAGUUGCAGAGGUAUAGAGACCAGAUCAAGACAUGGAUUCAGUCCAGCGAGAUCAAGGAUAAGAAGGUUAGUGCCUCUUAUGAGCAGGCUCUGAUGGAUGCUCGAAAGCAAAUUGAGCGUGAAAUGGAACGAUUUAAGAUAUGUGAAAAAGAAACAAAAACAAAAGCAUUCUCAAAAGAAGGUCUUGGCCUACAACCUAAGACGGAUCCAAAGGAAAAAGCUAAAUCUGAGACGAGAGAUUGGUUGAAUAACGUGGUCAGUGAGCUGGAAAAUCAAAUUGAUAGUUUUGAAGCUGAAAUAGAAGGACUUACAGUUAAGAAAGGGAAGACAAGGCCAGUGAGACUGACACAUCUGGAGGAAUCCAUCACUCGGCAUAAGGCUCAUAUUAUGAAGCUGGAAUUAAUUCUAAGGCUCUUGGAUAAUGAUGAAUUGAGUCCGGAGGAAGUCAACGACGUGAAGGAUUUCUUGGAUGACUAUGUUGAAAGAAAUCAGGAAGACUUUGACGAGUUUAGCGAUGUUGAUGAGCUUUACAGUUCCUUACCUCUAGACAAGGUGGAGUCUCUUGAAGAUCUAGUUACAGGUCCUCCUAGUCUUGUUAAGGGAGUUACUGCUUCCAGUGCAGUCAUAACAUUGAAAACUUCUCUGGCUGCAACACCUGUUCAAACUUCAGCAACAACCCCAGCUACCAUCCAACAGGUUACUUCCACCCUCGACCUGCUUGAUGAAACAGUUUUUCAGGAUGAUGCAGUUGCUAGAACCCCACCUUCUAAAGGUAGUGGCCUCAACUCUCCUGCACCACAAACACCACCAGCAGGUCUUGCAACUUCUGGCAUCACAAGUGUUGUCGGUGUGUCAUCUCCUGUGGCCGUGCCAAGUGCUACAAAAGAAGAGGAUAUUACGAAUUUCCCUGGCCGUAGAUCAUCUCCAGCACUUGCUGAAACUGGAUUAAGGGCUCUUGGCAGAGGUGGGUUGCCUGGUCAACCAGCUUCUAACAUCCUUCCUAGUUCUGGCAACACGAUUUCCAGCAAUGGAGCCCUUGGUGCCGUUCCCUUGUUAUCUGAAAUGGGGAAAAGAAAUAUCUUGGGAUCUGAUGAUCGACCUGGGAGUAGUGACAUGGUGCAGGCUCUUGCAUCUCCUUUAAGUAAUCGCACAGUUAUGCCCCAAACUGCAAAAUCAAGUGAUGGGCUUGGAUCAUCUGAUCCCGGAAGUGUUAUUGAUUCUGCAGUUGGGGGCAGCAGAGUUUUCAGUUCUCCUGUUGUUCCUGGUAUGCAAUGGCGGCCCGGAAAUUCCUUCCAAAACCAGAACGAACCAUUUCGUGGAAGAACUGAGAUUGCACCUGAUCAAAGGGAGAAGUAUAUACAACGAUUUCAGCAGGUACAGCUGCAUGGCCAGAAUAAUCUUCUGGGCAUGCCUUCUAUUUCUGGAGGAAAGCAGUACUCUGCACAACAGCAAAACAUUCUCUUACAACAGUUCAAUGCUCAAAGCUCAUCCAUCACACCUCAACUAGGGUUGGGGGUUGGGGUCCAGGCUUCAGGUAUUAACAGUGUAACAACAUCUGCUUCACUGCAGCCACAGCCUAGUGCAAUCCACCAACCUGCUAAUCAGCAGACAAUCAUAUCUUCAACACCUAAGGAUGCAGAAAAUGUCCUUAACAAAGUUGAGGAAAUGCAGCAGCAACAGUCCCUCACGGAAGAUUCUUCUGCAGAUUCUGCUGUCAACUCUGGGCUAGGAAAAACUCUUGUUGCAGAGGAUGAACUGAAAUCUCCUUACGCUUUAGAUGCUGCACAGGCUGCAGUUGCCUCUGGUUCUAUUGCUGAGCCUUCUCAAGUAAUACGGGAGAUAGAUCUAUCUCCAGGACAGCCUUUACAAUCAGCUUCAUCUUCUGGAAGUCUCGGUGUUAUUGGUCGAAGAAGUGUGUCUGACCUUGGUAUUAUUGGGGAUAACAUUAGUGCAUCAACUCCAAUUUCUGGGGGAAUGCAUGAUCAGUCGUAUAAUUUGCAGAUGCUUGAGGCUGCUUAUUAUAGACUUCCUCAGCCCAAGGAUUCAGAACGUGCUAAGACCUAUACUCCAAGACAUCCUGCUGCAACUCCUUCGAGCUAUCCUCAAGUACAAGCCCCUAUUGUUAAUAAUCCUGCCUUUUGGGAACGUCUUGGUGCAGAUACUUAUGGCACUGAUACCCUGUUCUUCUCAUUUUACUACCAGCAGAAUACCUAUCAGCAAUACUUGGCUGCUAGGGAACUAAAAAAACAAUCUUGGAGAUACCACAGGAAAUACAACACAUGGUUCCAACGGCAUGAGGAGCCAAAAGUUGCUACAGAUGAUUUUGAACAGGGGACAUAUGUGUAUUUUGACUUCCAUAUUGCCAGUGAUGAACAUGGAUGGUGUCAAAGAAUUAAGACGGAGUUCACUUUCGAGUACAGUUAUCUAGAGGAUGAUUUAAUAAUAUAGUCCCGGAUAUCAUUUCGUAUUAUCUUGACCACCAGAGAGUAGCUCUCCGUUGAUGUUUCGUUCAGUUGAAAUGUAAAAAUAGAAUAUGUGAUUCUGCAGUUAGAAUAUGUAUCUGGUGCCGAGCUGCGUGCAGAACACACAAAAGUUGGACUCUCUUGUCAUGAACUUGGGAGGCUGGAAAAGCAUCUUCCUAGUUCAUGUUCAACUGCUUGUAUGUGUCUAUUUUCACAUUUGGUUGAGUUGGUGGGGCAACAGGCAGAUUUUGAUUUUCAGCCGAGUUCGAGAUCCUUAUUACUACCUCCGUUCCAUUAUAAGCAACUUGUAUUUCUGUUUUUGUGAUGUUACCAUAUCCUUUUUUGGCAAAAUAUAUGUUAAUUACUCUUUUCUAUUAUUCCCUCCGUACCAUAAUAGAUGUCACAUUCCUAUUUUAAUU
This is an RNA transcript of Salvia splendens (bonfire salvia), 3156 nucleotides long. It is a transcript of the gene named general negative regulator of transcription subunit 3, with no coding region annotated. The record is from RefSeq and is a predicted model, not a curated record. Lineage: Eukaryota; Viridiplantae; Streptophyta; Magnoliopsida; Lamiales; Lamiaceae. The transcript has 18 exons.